GCAGUGGUGGUUCAGUGGUAAGAUUCUUGCUUUCCCCAUGGGAGACCCAGGUUCAAUUCCUGGUCGAUGCA
Molecule: transfer RNA, 71 nt
Filed under: Loxodonta africana (African savanna elephant)
Lineage: Eukaryota; Metazoa; Chordata; Mammalia; Proboscidea; Elephantidae
Rfam family: tRNA
About the family: Transfer RNA (tRNA) molecules are approximately 80 nucleotides in length. Their secondary structure includes four short double-helical elements and three loops (D, anti-codon, and T loops).
Source: Rfam by way of RNAcentral